Molecule: ribosomal RNA, 253 nt
Filed under: uncultured bacterium
Lineage: Bacteria
Description: partial 16S ribosomal RNA
Rfam family: Bacterial small subunit ribosomal RNA
Source: RNAcentral
UACGGAGGGAGCAAGCGUUACUCGGAAUUAUUGGGCGUAAAGGGCGCGUAGGCGAUUUGAAAAGUCUUGUGUGAAAGCCCCGAGCUUAACUCGGGAAGUGCACAAGAAACUGUUGAAUUUGAGUUCCGGAGAGGAAGGCAGAAUUCCCGGUGUAGCUGUGAAAUGCGUAGAUAUCGGGAGGAAUACCAGUGGCGAAGGCGGCCUUCUGGACGGAUACUGACGCUGAGGCGCGAAAGCCAGGGGAGCAAACGGG